GUGAGGUUAGUUAAUAGUAGUUACUAGAAUGUUAAUAUUGCGUUACUCAUUUUUUUGUGUGUGGUUAUUUAUUCAUUAAUGAUGGAACAGUAUUAGUGUUACUUGUUGCUGAAUUAUGACAUUCUGCUCCAGAUAUAAACUGUGAAUCAGUUUAGAAAUCAUAAACUGUCCCAGUGCCUUCCUCAUAAAACAGAAGGCUGGAAUAUUUUUUUCCAACAUUAUUUUUUCUUUCUCAUCAUCAUAUUUUCUCAUACAUGUUUCCGUUCGCACCCCAUAGGUUGCGUGUGAACUCUUUCUUCCUCUGAUUGUUUGCGGGUUGAAGAUGGAAGGCUGCGGCAUCACAGGGUUCAUGUUUCCAUCUCAAACACACGUGUAGCUCAUGCGGGCCGGUUCUACAAACACAAGCAUGAGCACCCUCAGUUAAUACUUUAAUUCAGUGAUGGAAGCCCACUGCACUGAAACAAGAGAUCUCUCUACAGACCGUAACAUGACUUUAUUACAAUAACUAUUAGUUUCAUGUGCCAUAACACUCAGGAGGUCUGAUUUACGGAUGAACAUUUGCCAAGACUUUGUGAUGGAGGAUUUCACUUUAAUGAAAUGGACUGAAUUAUUUCUUGGAUAUUGAGAGUUUCGUGCACACUUACCUCGUCUGAACUACAGCUUGAAUCUGUUUGACACCAUGUGCUUUUCCUCUUCUUUCCCUAGUGCGUUUAACCUGAGCGCCUCCUGUGAUUUCUGCUACAUGUAUGUGUGUUUACUCUGGAUCAGAACCUGAAUGUUUCCUCAGGUUUGGGUCUUUAUAUGAAAGGUGUGUGAAGACAUUUGUGUCCGAAACUGAAGACAGUCGACAGCUGAAAUUAACCAGCUUUAACCUAGUCAAGUCAAUAAUUCAUGACCAGUGCUUAUUUCUCACUAGAAAUAGAGGCAUGAGUUAAAAUUAAUAUGAAUUAAUUUGUUUCAAACACCUGCACAGGAUUGUGGGACAUCAUAGGCACUGAAGAACACAAUUUUUCAUGCUAACAUUAUAUUCAGGUGUUCCUGAUGAACGAUUGGCCUGAAAACGCAGCAAAGCUCAGUCUGUUUUAUUCUGUUUGCAGAGACUUGCCUUCUUUUGUCAGUAUUUCAGCCUGAAACGCCACAUUUAUGAUUCAUCAUAAAGUUAAAGCUGUUCAUGUGUUUUGUGUCAUAAUGUGAAGCUGAAGUUCUCCUGCAUCAUUUGACACACAAACUGUUAUAAUGUAAAGCAUGCUUAUUUCUUCAAUCUUACUGUGUGUCAUGAGUAUAGAAUCGUGUGCUUUCUGCACUAUACGGAUGUACAGCUACAGAUUCAUCAGACUUUAAUGACCUGGACGCCUCCAACAGAAUGAGCUGUUGGAAUGGGAUCGUUCUGCUAGUGACUCAUUAGCAUGAACUCACCGCGAGCAGCUGCCAGUGAAACACCACAUUACUUUCUUCUAGAUUGUGGAUUAUAGACAAAUGAGACGAUCUGUUUAUAGUUGACUAUUUCAUGCUCUGUUCCAACUUGAUCUGAGCGUAUCAUCAUAAACCAUCAGACAAUAAAACUGAAAAUGGCGGCUCUGGAUUUCAACAGUCACAUGAUGUUGUGGAAUAGACACGUGUAUCAGCUGAGCGCUGCAGCUGGAGCGACACGAGCAGCAAAUGUUGGCUGUUCCUCAGAUCACUGAAAUGCACCCAAUAGUUUUGAAACAUGCUGGAAUCCAUCAAUACGAGGCAAACACGCCAGAAAUUUUCCCACCGGAAUGAUUCUGGAUAAUAUUAUUUGCAGAAACACCCACUUGCAUGGAAAACGAGGGGGGGAAGGAGUAAAGGAGUGAAGGAGUGAAGGCCACAGCGAGAUCAGAAGGUCUGGAGAGGCAGAAUCCAGGCUGGUUCAUGCUGAUUAGAGCUGAUCUACCGUCACUCCUGCUUCACAUGCUGAUGACCAGCAAAACACGCCUUGGAGUUUUCAGCAGGAAGGACAGGCCGUGUGAUCCCUGAUUUGGGGUGAAGAGCAACCAGUCCCAAAUGUCCCAAAUGCUUGUAUACAUUAGAAUAACAACAGACUCGAAGAGGACAUGAAGCUGUCAGUCUGUUUGGCUGUUUAUUAUCCUCAUGUCUGCAGGGUUAGAUCACUGAUGACUCAAAUCUUAUUGUGUGUGUGUGUGUGUGUGUGUGUGUGUGUGUGUGUGUGUGUGUGUGUGUGUGUGUGUGUGU
This is a long non-coding RNA of Ctenopharyngodon idella (grass carp), 2214 nucleotides long. RefSeq lists it as uncharacterized. The record is from RefSeq and is a predicted model, not a curated record. NCBI's taxonomy places the organism in Eukaryota, Metazoa, Chordata, Actinopteri, Cypriniformes, Xenocyprididae. The transcript has 2 exons.